RNAcentral lists this unclassified non-coding RNA (2931 nucleotides) under Hevea brasiliensis (rubber tree). Lineage: Eukaryota; Viridiplantae; Streptophyta; Magnoliopsida; Malpighiales; Euphorbiaceae. The record is from RNAcentral.
CUCUCUCUCUCUCUCUCCUCUCCUCUCCUGGUGAGAAAGAAAGAUACAACCCUCUUCUCUCUUUGCUUUGCUCUGAAUCCACUCAAACUCAAAGGGAAUGCGACUUGGUAAAUACGAGCUCGGCAGGACUCUUGGGGAAGGCAAUUUUGGAAAAGUCAAAUUAGCGAAGAACAUUGAAUCCGGCCAACCUUUUGCUGUUAAGAUUCUUGAGAAGAACAGAAUCAUCCAUCUCAACAUCACUGAUCAGAUAAAGAGGGAGAUCGCCACCUUGAAGCUUCUUAAACAUCCGAACGUUGUCAGAUUAUAUGAGGUUUGUGUCAGGUGCGUGUUAAUUAGGCCCUCUCUCGCGCAUCGCAUGGCAAGUUGGGGACGGAAAUGUCCUCGUCACGCGAACUGGAGCCAUCCGGUAUUCAAUUGGCUACAGAAACCUGAAAACGCCACGGAUAAUUGAGAGUCCAUCAGAAAUUGGUGGCAGUAAGCUUCAGAGUGGGUCCCACAUUGGCUGGAUGCAUCGACUAUUAAAUUUGUCAGAGCAUGGACCUCUUGCGGAAGCCAUUUGCCAUUUUUAAAAAAAUAAUUGCGUGGUCUGUCCUUAAACAUCCUUAUGUGUUACGAAAGGGAGCAAAAUGUUGCAUCUUUUUGUAAAGGAAACAGAACUGGAUCUGUAUGCAUGAUGGAUCGGGAAAAGCUUAAUAAAGGAUGGUUCUAAUAAGGCCAAUUGGUUUGGACGGAAGGGAUUUCUUCAUGGAUUAGUAAUUGGUCUAAUCACAUGAAUUAUAUUUCAGCAUCAGUAGUGAUAGAUUUUGGUGCAGUAACUAUUAUUCACCACAGCUAAUAAAUGCUUUCUUGCAUUAGACUCUUAAUUAAAUGUAAUGUUGAAGCUUAUACGAUAACUGAAGUCAAAUGAAAAAAAAAAAAAUCUUGAUAAAUAUUGCAAGAUUUUUCAGACUAAACCGUGUUUAUUUUCCAGUUAUGGCGUUAUCAUGUUUCCUUGGGCUGUAUCCCCUAACAUUUCAUCACAGUCCUCAUCACACUCUGGACAAACACUGAUGACAUAAAGUCUUUUUUUUUUUUUAAUUUCUCUCUUCGUUUUUUUUCAAAUUUCUGUUUAGAAUUUCUAUUUUGGAGCUAUACAUUUCAGUUAGGUUCACAUAUGACUGAUGAAUCUGUGUAAUUUUGUGCUACAUUUUUUUAUGGCAAAUAUGCAGGUCUUGGCAAGCAAAUCAAAGAUUUACAUGGUCCUAGAAUAUGUAAAUGGAGGGGAAUUGUUUGACAGAAUAGCAUCCAAGGGCAAGCUUUCAGAAGCUCAGGGCAGGAAGCUCUUUCAGCAGUUGAUUGAUGGUGUCAGUUACUGUCACAGCAAAGGUGUUUUCCAUAGGGAUCUCAAGCUAGAGAAUGUUCUUGUUGAUGCAAAAGGAAACAUAAAGAUAUCUGAUUUUGGACUCAGCGCUUUACCACAGCAUUUCAGGGAUGAUGGGUUACUGCAUACAACCUGCGGAAGUCCUAACUAUGUUGCACCUGAGAUUCUCUCAAACAGAGGUUAUGAUGGUGCCACAUCAGAUAUUUGGUCAUGUGGUGUUAUUUUAUAUGUAAUUCUCACAGGAUAUCUCCCUUUUGAUGAUAGAAACAUUGCAGUUCUAUAUCAAAAGAUAUUCAAGGGUGACGCUCAGAUACCUAAAUGGCUAUCACCAGGUGCUCAAAACAUGAUAAGGAGGAUCCUCGAUCCAAAUCCAGUUACCAGAAUAACAGUGGCAGGUAUCAAAGCUGAUGAAUGGUUCAAGCAGGACUAUACUCCUGCUGAUCCUGCAGAAGAAGAAGAUGAUAUAUAUAUUGACAAUGAAGCUUUCUCGAUGCAUGAAAUGGUAUGAGUCGGAAAUGUUUAUCUUGAUAACCCACCCUUUUGGUGUAAUUUUUAGUGCUCUGUUGCUGUAACUAGAAGGAUUGUUCUUUUUGUAUAGCCAUUGGAAGGGGAGAGGAGUCCAGGAUCGCCUGCACUCAUCAAUGCCUUUCAAUUGAUUGGAAUGUCCUCAUGUCUAGACCUCUCUGGGUUCUUUGAGAAAGAGGUGACUAAAAAGUAGCCAGAGGCUAUUUUUUCUAUUGCUGGUUCACAAAAUGACUAGAAUAUCUGAUUGCAUACUGUAUGUACAUUUGGUUUGUAUCAAUUUAGGAUGUUUCAGAGAGGAAGAUUAGAUUUACAUCUAGUCACUCUUUGAAGGAUUUGCUUGAGAAAAUAGAGGAUAUUGUGACGGGGAUGGGAUUUCUAAUCCAAAAGAAAAAUGGGAAGGUUAGUAUUUUUGUAAAUUUGAGACACACAAUUUUUCUUGCUCGCUAGAACUAUAAAAUGUUGAUAUAUCUUGAUGAUGAGAAUUGUGUCCUUUAUCAGUUGAAAGUGGUGCAAGAGAACAAGGAGCAGAGAAGUAUGGGUAGUCUUGCAGUUGCUGCAGAGGUAUCUGAAAUUUGUUGAAGUAAUUGCAAGUUAUAGAAAUUUGCACACAGAUGUUGAGUUGCUGAAAUUUAUGUAAUUGUAUCAGGUAUUUGAAAUAAGUCCAUCGCUGCAUGUAGUUGAAUUACAUAAAUCAUAUGGAGAUCCUUCAGUUUAUAGACAGGUAUAUUCUUAAUUUCCUUCCUAAUAAUUGUUGAUAUUUAAUUUGGAGAUAUGAAUGUUUUUAAUAUAAUUAUUAUUUGAACGCAGUUGUGUAAAAAGCUAUCAAAUGAUUUAAGCGUCCCAUCGGGUCAAGGACUGUUGACCACACAAGUGUGAAUAAAUAAUGAAUUGUUAGGUGAGGGAGGCCUUGGAGAGGAGAAACCAGUGUACAUCCCUGUUUACCUUGUGCAAAAACCUACUCUUUGUAGUUAUUAUAGUUAUUCAGCAUGUGAAAGAAAGUAAAUUAUGCCCUUUGGGCCUUGAAAUGAAAGAGUAAAUUAUGCCCA